CGGACGGGUGAGUAACGCGUGGAAAACCUGCCGUAUACUGGGGGAUAACACUUAGAAAUAGGUGCUAAUACCGCAUAAGCGCACAGCUUCGCAUGAAGCGGUGUGAAAAAACUCUGGUGGUAUACGAUGGUUCCGCGUCUGAUUAGCUAGUUGGUGGGGUAAUGGCCUACCAAGGCAACGAUCAGUAGCCGGCCUGAGAGGGUGAACGGCCACAUUGGGACUGAGACACGGCCCAAACUCCUACGGAAGGCAGCAG
RNAcentral lists this ribosomal RNA (256 nucleotides) under uncultured bacterium. RNAcentral's name for it is "partial 16S ribosomal RNA". It matches the Rfam family "Bacterial small subunit ribosomal RNA", at positions 99 to 354 of the family's 1533-position model. The record is from RNAcentral.